GGGGUUGUGGCUCAGUGGCAGAGUGCUUGCCUAGCAUGUAUGAGGCACAGGUUCGAUUCUCAGCACCA
RNAcentral lists this transfer RNA (68 nucleotides) under Urocitellus parryii (Arctic ground squirrel). Its description in RNAcentral is "Spermophilus parryii (Arctic ground squirrel) tRNA". It matches the Rfam family "tRNA". Rfam says of the family: Transfer RNA (tRNA) molecules are approximately 80 nucleotides in length. Their secondary structure includes four short double-helical elements and three loops (D, anti-codon, and T loops). RNAcentral also lists the same sequence under 1 other name. Lineage: Eukaryota; Metazoa; Chordata; Mammalia; Rodentia; Sciuridae. The record is from Rfam by way of RNAcentral.